RNAcentral lists this long non-coding RNA (658 nucleotides) under Equus caballus (horse). Its description in RNAcentral is "lncRNA (ENSECAG00000055013.1)". The record is from RNAcentral. Lineage: Eukaryota; Metazoa; Chordata; Mammalia; Perissodactyla; Equidae.
CUCAAAGUGAUUGUCCCCUUACUUCACAGAGAACUCCCUGAACACACAAAGAACUCCCAUGACCUCCAAGAAACCUCCAGUGACAUUAUAGAGAACCCCCUCUGACCUCACCGAGACCUGAUAUCACAGAGGCCAACCAUUACCUCAACAAGACCCCCUACAACACAGUGAGAACUCCACUAAUUUCAUGGAAACCUCAAGUGACUCUCACCAGAUCUAGGAUCUCAGGGAAAUGAAGAGAGGAUGGUGGGUGCACCCGCCCCUCCCCAACUGACUGACAAAUCCCAUGGGUCCUCUUGACUGUUAGCACUCCGGAAGCCCCGCUCCAUGGAGGGAAAACCCUUCUUUCUAUCUACGCCUGCACGGCAAAGAGCUGCCACCCUGUUAAUGGGAAAAAGCCACUUGAAUUUUGAACUGUGUUUUAAGAACCAUACAUAUUCCUCAAGUCAAGGACAGGAUCUCAAUGAACAACUAAGUGAGCAUUGAAGAAAACCUUGUAACUCCUUGAGCAGAGCAGGAGGAACACCGUGACACCAAGCCGAAAGCAUUGAGGAACUCGUUGUGGACGUGCACGAGCAAGCUCACAGAGUAAAGAUUCCCAGUGUUUUCAACAACAAGGGAGGAAUUAAAUGUUUCUAGUUAAUCCAGAAUAACCUAA